GACGAACGCUGGCGGCGUGCUUAAUACAUGCAAGUCAACUUGACUCUAGAUAGCAAUAUCGAAAAGUAGGGUGGCGCACGGGUGCGUAACGCGUAGGUAAUCUGCCCUAAGGCCUGACAUAACUUACCGAAAGGUAAGCUAAUAUCAGAUGAUGCAAAAACACGACAUCGUGUAUUUGUCAAAUCUUCGGAACCUUGGGAUGAGCCUGCGUCUGAUUAGGUAGUGGCGGAGUAAUAGCCCACCAAGCCUACGAUCAGUAGCUGGUCUGAGAGGAUGAUCAGCCACACUGGAACUGAGACACGGUCCAGACUCCUACGGGAGGCAGCAGUAAGGAUAUUGCUCAAUGGGGAAACCUGAAGCAGCAACGCCGCGUGAAGGAUGAAAUACCUUU
Molecule: ribosomal RNA, 391 nt
Filed under: uncultured bacterium
Lineage: Bacteria
Description: bacterial SSU rRNA
Rfam family: Bacterial small subunit ribosomal RNA
Source: RNAcentral